UCUUCUUCUUCUCCGUUCUUUCUCUCUUCCUCUCUGUUUAAUCCCAUCUCAGAGAUUUGAGAUUCUUUUGUUAGAGAAAUUCUCGUGAACCUGGUUAGCUUGAUGAUAUGAAGAAGUAGGUGUUGGUUUUAUGAUUGUUUGAGCACAGGAAGAAGAAGUUUGAGUUGCUGCUGUAAAUCGAGAAUUAGGUUUUGUUUGGAGAUGAGGAAAUCAAGAGAAGAUGAAGAAUCAGUUGAUAACCCUGGGUUGAUGAUGGUGUUGUUAAAUCAAGUAUUGAUUCAACCUCAGAGGAUGAAGAAAAAGUUAGUCGUUAUUAACAACAAUCGAUUCAAAGGAUGAUCCAGUGGAUUGAACAUCUCGAGGUACGCGAGGCUUGUCAUCAAAAGAGUUUCAGAGACAGAUGCAAGAUGCGCACGUGGCGAUAAAAGCUUCGAGGAGUUGGUUGCGUUAGUUGGUUAGCUUCCGCUAUGUUUAUUUUGUGUUUAUAUUUUAUUUGUAAAUCAACUCAUUGUUGUAUAUGUAAUAUCUGAGAGGAGUUCUUGUAUUUAUUUCAGAGGGGGCUUAGAUUCGGGUUAAUCUUUGUUUAGAACUUCUUUCUUAAUGUUUGAAUAGACGUUUUAGAUC
This is a long non-coding RNA of Papaver somniferum (opium poppy), 624 nucleotides long. RefSeq lists it as uncharacterized. The transcript is spliced from 3 exons. The record is from RefSeq and is a predicted model, not a curated record. NCBI's taxonomy places the organism in Eukaryota, Viridiplantae, Streptophyta, Magnoliopsida, Ranunculales, Papaveraceae.